Long non-coding RNA from Branchiostoma floridae (Florida lancelet), 427 nucleotides. RefSeq lists it as uncharacterized. The record is from RefSeq and is a predicted model, not a curated record. Lineage: Eukaryota; Metazoa; Chordata; Leptocardii; Amphioxiformes; Branchiostomatidae. The transcript has 3 exons.
AGUCCGAUCACACCCGAACAGAACCGAAAAGGUACGAUCGAUAUGCAUUGUGGGAAAAAAUACUUCCGAAUGUUCCCGAAGCCAUUUUGCCGCCGAUUCUUCUGCUGGAUGGACGUUUUGCAGUUUUGUGAGGCAAAAUCGUGAUUUUUCUUCUCAAAGGAGCUGGAUUUCAACGUGACUUUGUUUCAUCAGGCUACAUAGGUAUUCGGAGUUUUCCCGCCAUUUGUAAAGUGCAGACGACAGUGUAAAGAUGGCGUCUGUCAGCGAUAGCUCGUCACUGACGUCGGGAUCAGACGACGAAAACAACGACAAGCAGGCGGCCAGCACUAGUGCCAGUUCAAACCCAUUUGCAAACAUGAUAGACCCAGACUUUGACAUGAGCAAAGUCCCAGAGACUGAAGACAUCCGCAUUAAAGGUGUAAAAUUG